This 253-nucleotide ribosomal RNA is filed under the name uncultured bacterium. Its description in RNAcentral is "partial 16S ribosomal RNA". It matches the Rfam family "Bacterial small subunit ribosomal RNA", at positions 524 to 776 of the family's 1533-position model. The record is from RNAcentral.
UACGUAGGGUGCGAGCGUUGUCCGGAAUUAUUGGGCGUAAAGGGCUCGUAGGCGGUUUGUCGCGUCGGGAGUGAAAACACCGGGCUUAACUCGGUGCUUGCUUUCGAUACGGGCAGACUUGAGGCAUGCAGGGGAGAACGGAAUUCCUGGUGUAGCGGUGAAAUGCGCAGAUAUCAGGAGGAACACCGGUGGCGAAGGCGGUUCUCUGGGCAUGUUCUGACGCUGAGGCGCGAAGGCGCGGGGAGCGAACGGG